Molecule: ribosomal RNA, 779 nt
Filed under: Steinernema siamkayai
Lineage: Eukaryota; Metazoa; Nematoda; Chromadorea; Rhabditida; Steinernematidae
Description: eukaryotic LSU rRNA
Rfam family: 5.8S ribosomal RNA (bases 268-414)
Source: RNAcentral
GGAUAUGGGAGCUAUUUCUUCAUUUAAUCAGGUCUUUGCUGUUUGUUUCUAAGCGUUGACUUGAUCUUGCUUUGAAUGGUUUCUAGAGACGUUGGAGCAGUCAUUUAAGCGUGACUGUGAUGAUGAGCGUUUUACUUUGCUUGCAUUUCGCUGUUUCUUGAAUGUUAGCGAUGAGUUAAAGAGGUCUGCUGACUCGCCAUUUUUAUUGAUAACAAAAACGUUUUGUUUUGAUUUUUGUGUCACUUGUUGAUGCAUUAUUCAAUUAUCAAGUCUUACGGUGGAUCACUCGGUUCGUAGGUCGAUGAAAAACGGGGCAAAACCGUUAUUUGGGUGAAUUGCAGACAUAUUGAGCGCUAAAAUUUUGAACGCAAUGGCACUAACAGGGUUAUCUGUAGUAUGUUCAAUUGAGGGUCUUUUGACUAGAAUCUGGCAAUCGGCUGUGAUUGCUUUUCGGAAAGUUAUUUUGCUUUUUCUAAAGUGAGUACUUUUUGGUAUGGCUAUUUGAUUGUCUAAUGGAUGUCUGGUUAGCUGUUUCUUUGCUAGACGUCUGCAAUCAUUUGGCUUUGCGUAGUGUUUGAAUAAUAGGUUAGCGCGUUUCUUGCUAACUGACUUUUGCACAAGCAAGUGUAAUACGUUUCUAAAGUCAGCUUUUAUUCAAUUUGGUUUUCUGACUUGAUUUGUCGGUUAACUGUGCUAUGCUUUGUCAAUCUUUUCUAACUAGACCUCAAUUUGAGCAAGAUUACCCGCUGAAAUUUAAAGCAUAUAAAUUUAAAGCAUAU